ACGUAGGGGGCAAGCGUUAUCCGGAAUUAUUGGGCGUAAAGAGUGCGUAGGUGGUUUUUUAAGCGUGAGGUGAAAGGCAAUAGCUUAACUAUUGUAAGCCUUGCGAACUGGAAGACUUGAGUGCAGGAGAGGAAAGUGGAAUUCCUAGUGGGGGGCUGUCAUGCGUGGAACUUAGGAGGAGCACCGAUGGCGUAGGCAACAUUCUGGAUUGGAACUGACACUAGGGCACCAAACCGUGGCCAACAAACAG
RNAcentral lists this ribosomal RNA (250 nucleotides) under uncultured prokaryote. RNAcentral's name for it is "partial 16S rRNA". It matches the Rfam family "Bacterial small subunit ribosomal RNA", at positions 525 to 775 of the family's 1533-position model. The record is from RNAcentral.